CCUACGGGAGGCAGCAGUGAGGAAUAUUGGUCAAUGGACGCAAGUCUGAACCAGCCAUGCCGCGUGCAGGAAGACGGCUCUAUGAGUUGUAAACUGCUUUUGUACGAGGGUAAACGCAGAUACGCGUAUCUGUCUGAAAGUACCGUACGAAUAAGGAUCGGCUAACUCCGUGCCAGCCGCCGCGGUAAUACGGAGGGUUCAAGCGUUAUCCGGAUUUAUUGGGUUUAAAGGGUGCGUAGGCGGUCGGAUAAGUUAGAGGUGAAAUCCCGAGGCUCAACUUCGGAAUUGCCUCUGAUACUGGUCGGCUAGAGAGUAGUUGCGGUAGGCGGAAUGUAUGGUGUAGCGGUGAAAUGCUUAGAGAUCAUACAGAACACCGAUUGCGAAGGCAGCUUACCAAGCUACUUCUGACGUUGAGGCACGAAAGUGUGGGGAGCAAACAGGAUUAGAUACCCGAGUAGUC
This 460-nucleotide ribosomal RNA is filed under the name uncultured bacterium. Its description in RNAcentral is "partial 16S ribosomal RNA". It matches the Rfam family "Bacterial small subunit ribosomal RNA", at positions 338 to 795 of the family's 1533-position model. The record is from RNAcentral.